This is a long non-coding RNA of Scatophagus argus, 934 nucleotides long. RefSeq lists it as uncharacterized. The transcript has 4 exons. The record is from RefSeq and is a predicted model, not a curated record. NCBI's taxonomy places the organism in Eukaryota, Metazoa, Chordata, Actinopteri, Scatophagidae.
UGUGUGUGUGUGUGUGUGUGUGUGUGUGUGCGUGCGUGCAUACCUGUUCCCGUGCCUGAUCUAUAAAGGAGCUACACUCCUCGAGGUACACAGUGAUGUCAGUGUCCGGGAGGUCCAGGAUCUGGAGCGUCUUAUAAACCAGCUGAUCUGGGAACAGGGUGUCGAUAUCGUGGGCCGCAUCCUGAGAGGCUGAAAAGGCAGGGACGACUUCAUGAGAAGACAGACAGGAGGGCUCAAAUGAUGCUUGCUGCAGGCUGACAUUUGAAUAUCUUUGGCUUUUAGACUGCUGGUUGAACAAAAGUGAUCUUAAAGAGUGACAGCAGCGGAACUUCAGCAGCGGAGGGCAAACGCUGCAGCACCUACAUCACUUCACAUGAAAACAGCAAACCCGCUCUGAACAGCUGCAACACAACAGAGGGAGGAUAUCAGUCAGCAGAAACCAACAGUAAAACAGCUAAGAGCCACAGAAAAAAUAAGAAAUCACAGAAUCAGAUACCAGGCUUAAAAACUGCUGAAAUAAACAGUCGGUGUUAUCUGCUGCUGCAGAGAGAGGAGUUCAUGGUUUUCAUGACAACAGCCUUCACAACAGUGAGAGUCUGACGGACUAGUGCAGCAGAGGAAGCAGGUUUAAGACUAAUGGAGGAAAUGAAAUGAAAAGGACCACACGGCGAGCCAACCUGAGCGAGAAAAGCUGUGAGGUCAAAGCACAGCAUAAGUAAGCUACAGAAGUGAACUGCACCCCAGAGCUGCGAGAGGCUUCAAUGUGAAGCUCAAGGACACUUCAGCAGGACGGACACAUGCUGACAUGUGAAGGUGUCACCCUGCGUCCUCCAGCUGAAGCCAGGGUACAUCACCGAGCUCCCAGAGACAACUUCAAAAUUAAUCACAUUGAUUUAUUCCUUAUAAUGAUUUUACUUAUUAUUCGCAACAAACC